RNAcentral lists this ribosomal RNA (162 nucleotides) under uncultured bacterium. Its description in RNAcentral is "partial 16S ribosomal RNA". It matches the Rfam family "Bacterial small subunit ribosomal RNA", at positions 355 to 509 of the family's 1533-position model. The record is from RNAcentral.
UGGGGAAUAUUGCGCAAUGGGCGAAAGCCUGACGCAGCGACGCCGCGUGAGGGAUGAAGGUCUUCGGAUCGUAAACCUCUGUCAGCAGGGAAGAACGGUCACUGUGCUAAUCAGCAGUGAAAUGACGGUACCUGCAAAGGAAGCACCGGCUAACUCCGUGCC